This 253-nucleotide ribosomal RNA is filed under the name uncultured bacterium. RNAcentral's name for it is "partial 16S ribosomal RNA". It matches the Rfam family "Bacterial small subunit ribosomal RNA", at positions 524 to 776 of the family's 1533-position model. The record is from RNAcentral.
UACGUAGGGUGCGAGCGUUAAUCGGGAUUACUGGGCGUAAAGCGUGCGCAGGCGGUUCUCCAAGUCCGUUGUGAAAGCCCCGGGCUCAACCUGGGAAUGGCAGUGGAAACUAGGGGACUGGAAUCUGGCAGAGGGGGGUGGAAUUCCGCGUGUAGCAGUGAAAUGCGUAGAGAUGCGGAGGAACACCGAUGGCGAAGGCAGCCCCCUGGGCUGACACUGACGCUCAGGCACGAAAGCGUGGGGAGCAAACAGG